CGAGGAGCAGAGCACUGUAGACGAGAGAGAGUAUGGUCCUACUGAGUUGGGAUCAGUUCAUUUAAAGGUUUCAUUCGUUUAGGCAGGAUUGUCCGUUCGGUGACAAUUGCCACUGUUUCAGAGUGAGUCUGCGGUCCCGAUGAAGAAUGUCUGCUGGAGCCAGUUGAUUUGUUUACUUUCCCUCCCUCCUAGAUGUGUCCAUAACGUUCUGGAGGGGAAAAAACUGCUUCUCCUUUCGUCUGGGACUGGGUGAUGGCCUCAUCAGCUACGCAGCUGUGCUUGGGCUACUGUCACUGCAUCUAGCAACCAGUUCUGAGUGACGCUCCCCCCCCACUCCCCUGCCCCCCCCCUCUCCC
Long non-coding RNA from Esox lucius (northern pike), 356 nucleotides. The record is from Ensembl. NCBI's taxonomy places the organism in Eukaryota, Metazoa, Chordata, Actinopteri, Esociformes, Esocidae.